Molecule: ribosomal RNA, 404 nt
Filed under: uncultured bacterium
Lineage: Bacteria
Description: bacterial SSU rRNA
Rfam family: Bacterial small subunit ribosomal RNA
Source: RNAcentral
UGGGGACUAUUGCACAAUGGGCGAAAGCCUGAUGCAGCGACGCCGCGUGAAGGAUGAAGUAUUUCGGUAUGUAAACUUCUAUCAGCAGGGAAGAAAAUGACGGUACCUGACUAAGAAGCCCCGGCUAACUACGUGCCAGCAGCCGCGGUAAUACGUAGGGGGCAAGCGUUAUCCGGAUUUACUGGGUGUAAAGGGAGCGUAGACGGCGAUGCAAGCCAGAUGUGAAAGCCCGGGGCUCAACCCCGGGACUGCAUUUGGAACUGUGUGGCUGGAGUGUCGGAGAGGCAAGUGGAAUUCCUAGUGUAGCGGUGAAAUGCGUAGAUAUUAGGAGGAACACCAGUGGCGAAGGCGGCUUGCUGGACGAUGACUGACGUUGAGGCUCGAAAGCGUGGGGAGCAAACAGG